UUAUACGUGAAAAUACUAGACUAACUCAUAAACUUUUGUAAUUACUAGACUAACUCAUAAGACCAAUAAAAGUACCAAAAACCUCUUCCCUUCAUGUUCACAAGUGUGCCAUAAAAUAAGUUAUUAUUAGGUUAAUGUUUUAUUUUUCACCAAAAGUCUCAUUUUCUCUCGACGCCGACAAGGAAGUUGGAUUCUCUUCACUUACGUCCCCGGCGACUUCUCCCCUGUUAUAGCCUCCUUUUGUUUCGUCAUGCCCAGCCUAACUAGCCGUCGUCUCUGCCAUACAAGAAGAACUCCAAAUCCGAUUUCACUUUAUCAAAUCCUCUUUCCAAUCGAAGAAAAUUGAACAUUAUCAUUGGAUCAGUGAUUUUGAGCUUUGGAUUCUACACUGUGAUUUGGGGAAAAAAAAAGAGGAUUCAACUAAAUCUGUAGCAGGCUCUGAGAAGUCACAGUUACACACCAUAGAAGAUGAACCUCAUCACCUCAUCAUUAAGAUGUGACUGAUGCAAGUGGAGUAGUACUUUUCAAUAGAUAUGGAGCCAUUAAAAUAUAUUGUCCCCAGUAUUUCUUACGUGCAUAUGUAUUAGUAUCAUUUAGUACAUCAAUACUUUGUAAAGAAGCUCUGCAACAUCAGCUAAAAUUAUUAGCAUUAUAGUUUAUAUAACUAUAUAUAUGGUUCCCUUGUUAUUGUUCUUUAUAAUAUACCCUGAAUAAAUAAGCAAAGCCUUCUUCUA
Molecule: long non-coding RNA, 734 nt
Organism: Raphanus sativus (radish)
Lineage: Eukaryota; Viridiplantae; Streptophyta; Magnoliopsida; Brassicales; Brassicaceae
Exons: 2
Source: RefSeq, a predicted model, not a curated record